GGUGUCCUAAGAUGAGCUCAA
This 21-nucleotide non-coding RNA is filed under the name Arabidopsis thaliana (thale cress). Lineage: Eukaryota; Viridiplantae; Streptophyta; Magnoliopsida; Brassicales; Brassicaceae. RNAcentral also lists the same sequence under 1 other name. The record is from RNAcentral.